CCGCCCGGGGAUGGAGGACCAAGCUGGGAGGGGGGCUGAGAAGCGAAAGAGAUACAUCAAAAAGAGGGAAGGAGAGGGACAGGGAAGCUAGGGCGACUGAGGAUACUCCGAGGUCUAGUCCGGCUUGACAGCAGGAGCUAGAGAGCUUUGCGAGCCGCGGGGCUGGGAAGUCAGGGCAUGGGGGCCAGGCCGGCCCUCCGGUUCUUUCAGCUCCCCGGGCCCCCGACUUUAAAGUGCUCAAGUUGGGGUCGGCGCCAUCAUGACGCCCAAGACUGUGAGGAAAGCAAGAGCUAUGGUGCAUUCUGUAAGACUACAGCAGCGGCUUUCCAGGCACAGCCUAGUGGGCUGGAUACACCGUGACAGCCAUUAACUCCCUACACUGCUGUCUUUGCAUCCUGUCUUUAAGCAGUGUCUUCAAGAGAAGAUGCUGGAACUCAGCCAUUUUGACACAAUCAUAAAACUGAAGUUUGAUGUUUAGAGGUCAAUACUCAUUAUCUUCAUUUUGAAAAUAUUUUGUUUUGGAGAUGCUGGAGAAACCCAGAAAACUUCAGGUUGCUUUUGGCUAUGGUCUGUAGCAUAGCAGUAGAAAGCAAACUAAGAGUG
Molecule: long non-coding RNA, 603 nt
Organism: Rattus rattus (black rat)
Lineage: Eukaryota; Metazoa; Chordata; Mammalia; Rodentia; Muridae
Exons: 5
Source: RefSeq, a predicted model, not a curated record